This 916-nucleotide long non-coding RNA is filed under the name Homo sapiens (human). RNAcentral's name for it is "non-protein coding lnc-S1PR3-1:2". Lineage: Eukaryota; Metazoa; Chordata; Mammalia; Primates; Hominidae. The record is from RNAcentral.
CAGCCUGGCCAACAUGGUGAAACCUCAUCUCUACUAAAAAUACACACACACACCCCAAAUUAGCUGGGCGUGGUGGUGCAUGCCUGUAAUCCAGCUGCUCAGGAGGCUGAGGCAGAAGAAUGGCUUGAACCCAGGAGGUGGAGGUUGCAGUGAGCUGAGAUUGCGCCACUGUACUCUAGCCUGGGUGACAAGAGUGAAACUACAUCUCAAAAAAAAAAAAAAAAAAAACAAGAAAAGAAAAAGAAACAUCUACAAUGAAGAAUCACACCAGUCAUACUACAACUAACCAUACUUUUAAUCAAAAGUGACUGAAAAACAUAUUUUCAGACACGCAAGGAUGAGAAAAUUUAUGCUCAUGCACCUCUUCCGAGAAAGGCACUUAAGGAAGCAGUCUGGUAAAAAGUGAGUGAAAGCCAGAGAUACACAAAAAGCCAAUACAUGCAUGAAAAGUUCCUCAACAUCGUUAGUCAUCAGGAAAAUGCAUAUCAAAACCACAACCAGAGACCACUUCAUGCCCACUAGGGUAGCUAUAAUCAAAGAGAUGGACAAGAAAAAGUGUUGAUAAGAACGUGGGGAUAUUAGAACCCUCACACAUUGCUCAUGGGACUGUAAAAUGGUGCAGCCACUUUAGAAAAUAGCUUUGCAGUUUCAGCAUAACCAUAUGACCACAGAAUUUCACUCCCAGGUAUAUACAUAAGAAUAUUGAAACAUAUGUCCAUAAGGAAACUUGUAUACAUCUUUACAGUAGCAUUGUUCAUAAGAGCUAAAAGGUAGGGCCGGGCGCAGUGGCUGAUGCCUGUAAUCCCAGCAUUUUGGGAGGCCAAGGCGGGCAGAUCAUGAGGUCAGGAGUUCAAGACCAGCCUGAGCAAUAUGGUGAAACCCUGUCUCUACUAAAAAUACAAAAAUUAGCCAGGCG